AUGAAUUCUCUCCUUUAAAGCAACCAGUGAAUUUUCCUCCAUCAAUGCUGUUGAUAAUUAAUUAAUAAUAACAGCAAACCUCUUGUGACUCUCCAUUAACUAAGGAGCUGACGCUAGAUGGUAGUUUGCGUAGCAUAAAGACUGGAGAUGGGUAAAUGGACUGGUUCUCAUAUAGUGCUUUUUUACUUGAGUACUCAAAGUACUUUAAACACCAUUCACACACACAUUCAUACAAACACUUUUUUAGGGAUUGAACCACCUACCGCCUGUCUAGUGAUGACAUGCUCUAACUCCUGAGCCACCUACCUGAGUAGGUUGUUACACAUAAUAAACCAAAUCCAUGAACAAAUUAUGUCUGAAAAUGACCAGUGGCUGCUAAUUUGUUUGCCAGGAAUAUCGAUGAUUUUUGUAAUUUCAGUGUUUCUUUUUCAGCUUUGGAGUCUUCAGUUAGUAUAGAGAAGGUACAAAGCAGUUUUAAACCACACAAGUUCAGUUUAACUGGACUCUGUUCUUCUGUUAGAUGUAUUCCUAAUAGAGAGAGCUUCCAUUCUAUAGUAUGCUGAGCUUUCCUAAAGUAACUAGCUACAUUAUCAUUGGAAUAAAAUGCAUUCCUGUUAACAAUUAUAAAUGAAAAGAACCCAAAUAAGUCAUACAUGAAAACUCCUAUCCAUUAUUCAGUGAGAAAAACAGAUGUGGUAACAUAUCCAUACACAGUUUUUGGUUACCUUGGCACAUACCUGCAGUUUCCCAAACAUGAUGUUUAUUUCUUCUUUAAAAAGGGACUAAAAAAUUGUGUAUAUGUUUUUGAACCCUGACUUUGUUUUGUACAUUAUCUUAUCUUUAAGCCUAGAUUUGAUGUGAUUAGAUUUAUUGCUGUUCCCUGGUUAGAUGCCCAGGUUAUGAACAAUGUGAUGGUGUAAUAAACAGUUUGCUAGAGUUCUGCAAAUACUUGUAAUCGUGGCUGUUCAUAAGUAUUUUUCUAGAAAAGCUUCUAGUGUACAAAUCACUGACUGUGCUGGGGUGAAAAUAAUUCUCUGCGUUUCUGUGUAUCAACUACAGAACAUUUGGUUCUUGUUAUGUAUGCCUGUUAGCUAUUUCUGUGGCCAAAUAUGUGUCUGGUUGCAUCUCUGACCACACCCAACAGAGAUGUCAUAAUGUAGCAAUGAUUUAGCUACAACCGUAUACAUCACUGCUAUAAAACUCUCCUCUACUAAACCUUUAUUGAUUUGUUUUUGAAUAUUAUUCUUUUGCUUUGCUUGUCUUGUUUUACACUCUUUGUAAAUUACUUUAACUGUGUGAGACUUGUGUCUCAUUGAUUCCUUACCUUAAAUAUUAAAAGACUGCUGUCUGGAAAUGUGUG
This is a long non-coding RNA of Oreochromis aureus, 1360 nucleotides long. The record is from Ensembl. NCBI's taxonomy places the organism in Eukaryota, Metazoa, Chordata, Actinopteri, Cichliformes, Cichlidae.